This 571-nucleotide long non-coding RNA is filed under the name Homo sapiens (human). RNAcentral describes it as "non-protein coding lnc-NR4A2-3:1". Lineage: Eukaryota; Metazoa; Chordata; Mammalia; Primates; Hominidae. The record is from RNAcentral.
CUGACCUUAGGUGAUCCACCCACCUCGGCCUCCCAAAGUGCUGGAAUUACAGGCGUGAGCCACUGCACCUGGCCUCAAUGUCGUCGUCUUCUCCUUUUCCUUCUCCUUCUUCUUCAUUUUUUCUUUUUUUUUUUCUUUUUUCUAGAUACAGAGUCUCGCUCGAUCACCCAGGCUGGAGUGGAGUGGCGCCAUCUUGGCUCACUGCAAGCUCCGCCUCCCGCGUUCUCGCCAUUUUCCUGCCUCAGUCUCCGGAGUAGCUGGGACUACAGGCGCCCGCCACCACGCCUGGCUAAUUUUUUUGUUUUUUUAGUAGAAACGGGGUUUCACCGUGUUAGCCAGAAUGGUCUCGAUCUCCUGACCUCGUGAUCCACCUCAGCUUCCCAAAGUGCUGGGAUUACAGGCAUGAGCCACCGAAACCGGAUGAUGCCUCCUUCUUAAUUUCCAGUCUUGUUGGCUAAUAUCAGGGACAUAGAUGAAGCUGGGAGCCAUCAUACUCAGCAAACUAACACAGGAAUAGAAAACCAAACACCGCGUGUUCUCACUCAUAAGUGGGAGUUGAACAAUGAGAACA